GAUGGACGCUGGCGGCGUGCCUAAUACAUGCAAGUCGAGCGAACAGACGAGGAGCUUGCUCCUCUGACGUUAGCGGCGGACGGGUGAGUAACACGUGGAUAACCUACCUAUAAGACUGGGAUAACUUCGGGAAACCGGAGCUAAUACCGGAUAAUAUAUUGAACCGCAUGGUUCAAUAGUGAAAGACGGUUUUGCUGUCACUUAUAGAUGGAUCCGCGCCGCAUUAACUAGUUGGUAAGGUAACGGCUUACCAAGGCAACGAUGCGUAGCCGACCUGAGAGGGUGAUCGGCCACACUGGAACUGAGACACGGUCCAGACUCCUACGGGAGGCAGCAGUAGGGAAUCUUCCGCAAUGGGCGAAAGCCUGACGGAGCAACGCCGCGUGAGUGAUGAAGGUCUUCGGAUCGUAAAACUCUGUUAUUAGGGAAGAACAAAUGUGUAAGUAACUAUGCACGUCUUGACGGUACCUAAUCAGAAAGCCACGGCUAACUACGUG
RNAcentral lists this ribosomal RNA (497 nucleotides) under uncultured bacterium. RNAcentral describes it as "partial 16S ribosomal RNA". It matches the Rfam family "Bacterial small subunit ribosomal RNA", at positions 28 to 507 of the family's 1533-position model. The record is from RNAcentral.